RNAcentral lists this ribosomal RNA (498 nucleotides) under uncultured bacterium. Its description in RNAcentral is "bacterial SSU rRNA". It matches the Rfam family "Bacterial small subunit ribosomal RNA", at positions 29 to 507 of the family's 1533-position model. The record is from RNAcentral.
AUGAACGCUGGCGGCGUGCUCAAACAUGCAAGUCGAGCGGGGCUAUGUAAUAUACGCAAGGUAGAACAUAGCCUAGCGGCGAACGGGUGAGUAACACGUGGGUAACCUGCCUGGAAGACAGGGAUAACGAUUCGAAAGGGUCGCUAAUACCUGAUAAUAUCCUUUCAUCGCAUGGUGAUAGGAAGAAAGGGGAAACCCGCUUUCAGAUGGGCCCGCGUCCCAUCAGCUAGUUGGUAAGGUAAAGGCUUACCAAGGCGACGACGGGUAGCCGGUCUGAGAGGAUGUACGGCCACACUGGGACUGAGAUACGGCCCAGACUCCUACGGGAGGCAGCAGUCGAGAAUAGUCUACAAUGGCCGGAAGGCUGAUAGUGCGACGCCGCGUGAACGAGGGAGCCCUUCGGGGUGUAAAGUUCUUUUCUAUACGAGCAGUGCUAUAUAUAUGGAUAGUAUAUAUAGAGGGAUAGUAGUAUAGGAAUAAGCAACGGCUAACUCCGUG